Molecule: ribosomal RNA, 918 nt
Filed under: Acinetobacter sp. 17_SBR2
Lineage: Bacteria; Pseudomonadati; Pseudomonadota; Gammaproteobacteria; Moraxellales; Moraxellaceae
Description: bacterial SSU rRNA
Rfam family: Bacterial small subunit ribosomal RNA
Source: RNAcentral
UCAGAUUGAACGCUGGCGGCAGGCUUAACACAUGCAAGUCGAGCGGAGAGAGGUAGCUUGCUACUGAUCUUAGCGGCGGACGGGUGAGUAAUACUUAGGAAUCUGCCUAUUAGUGGGGGACAACAUCUCGAAAGGGAUGCUAAUACCGCAUACGUCCUACGGGAGAAAGCAGGGGAUCUUUAUGACCUUGCGCUAAUAGAUGAGCCUAAGUCGGAUUAGCUAGUUGGUGGGGUAAAGGCCUACCAAGGCGACGAUCUGUAGCGGGUCUGAGAGGAUGAUCCGCCACACUGGGACUGAGACACGGCCCAGACUCCUACGGGAGGCAGCAGUGGGGAAUAUUGGACAAUGGGGGGAACCCUGAUCCAGCCAUGCCGCGUGUGUGAAGAAGGCCUUAUGGUUGUAAAGCACUUUAAGCGAGGAGGAGGCUUACCUGGUUAAUACCCAGGAUAAGUGGACGUUACUCGCAGAAUAAGCACCGGCUAACUCUGUGCCAGCAGCCGCGGUAAUACAGAGGGUGCAAGCGUUAAUCGGAUUUACUGGGCGUAAAGCGCGCGUAGGCGGCCAAUUAAGUCAAAUGUGAAAUCCCCGAGCUUAACUUGGGAAUUGCAUUCGAUACUGUUUGGCUAGAGUGUGGGAGAGGAUGGUAGAAUUCCAGGUGUAGCGGUGAAAUGCGUAGAGAUCUGGAGGAAUACCGAUGGCGAAGGCAGCCAUCUGGCCUAACACUGACGCUGAGGUGCGAAAGCAUGGGGAGCAAACAGGAUUAGAUACCCUGGUAGUCCAUGCCGUAAACGAUGUCUACUAGCCGUUGGGGCCUUUGAGGCUUUAGUGGCGCAGCUAACGCGAUAAGUAGACCGCCUGGGGAGUACGGUCGCAAGACUAAAACUCAAAUGAAUGACNGGGCCCGCACAAGCGGAGCAG